This 405-nucleotide ribosomal RNA is filed under the name uncultured bacterium. RNAcentral describes it as "bacterial SSU rRNA". It matches the Rfam family "Bacterial small subunit ribosomal RNA", at positions 32 to 418 of the family's 1533-position model. The record is from RNAcentral.
AAUCAACGCUGGCGGCGUGCCUCAGACAUGCAAGUCGAACGCGAAAGGCUCCUUCGGGAGCCCGGUAGAGUGGCGCACGGGUGAGUAACACGUGGGUAAUUUACCUUCGGGUGGGGAAUAACAGCCGGAAACGGCUGCUAAUACCGCAUAAUGCAGCGGCACCACAUGGUGACAGUUGUUAAAGUGGGGGAUCGCAAGACCUCACGCCUGAAGAGAAGCCCGCGGCGGAUUAGCAGUUGGCGGGGUAAUGGCCCACCAAGGCGUCGAUCCGUAGCCGGCCUGAGAGGGCGGUCGGCCACACUGACACUGAAUAACGGGUCAGACUCCUACGGGAGGCAGCAGUCGGGAAUUUGGGCAAUGGGCGCAAGCCUGACCCAGCAACGCCGCGUGAAGGAUAGAAAUCCC